This 246-nucleotide ribosomal RNA is filed under the name uncultured bacterium. Its description in RNAcentral is "partial 16S ribosomal RNA". It matches the Rfam family "Bacterial small subunit ribosomal RNA", at positions 524 to 770 of the family's 1533-position model. The record is from RNAcentral.
GACGGAGGAUGCAAGUGUUAUCCGGAAUCACUGGGCGUAAAGCGUCUGUAGGUGGUUCGAAAAGUCCACUGUUAAAAAUUGAGGCUUAACUUCAAAGAUGCCGUGGAAACUUUCAAACUAGAGUAUGGUAGGGGUAGAGGGAAUUUCCAGUGGAGCGGUGAAAUGCGUAGAGAUCGGGAGGAACACCAGUGGCGAAGGCGGCCGGCUGGGGGUGCCCUGACGCUGAGGCGCGAAGCGUGGGGAGCG